AGAGUUUGAUCAUGGCUCAGAACGAACGCUGGCGGCAUGCCUAGCACAUGCAAGUCGAACGCGUGGUUUCGGCCACGAGUGGCGCACGGGUGAGUAACGCGUGGGAACCUGCCCUGGGGUGGGGGAUAACCCGGCGAAAGCCGGGCUAAUACCGCAUACGUCCUGAGGGAGAAAGAUUUAUCGCCCUGGGAGGGGCCCGCGUCGGAUUAGGUAGUUGGUGGGGUAAUGGCCUACCAAGCCUGCGAUCCGUAGCUGGUCUGAGAGGAUGAUCAGCCACACUGGGACUGAGACACGGCCCAGACUCCUACGGGAGGCAGCAGUGGGGAAUAUUGGACAAUGGGGGCAACCCUGAUCCAGCAAUGCCGCGUGGGUGAUGAAGGCCUUAGGGUUGUAAAGCCCUUUUGGCGGGGACGAUGAUGACGGUACCCGCAGAAGAAGCCCCGGCUAACUUCGUGCCAGCAGCCGCGGUAAUACGAAGGGGGCUAGCGUUGUUCGGAAUUACUGGGCGUAAAGGGCGCGCAGGCGGCCUUGGAAGUUGGGCGUGAAAGCCCCGGGCUCAACCCGGGAAUAGCGUUCGAUACUCCGAGGCUAGAGUUCGGGAGAGGAGGGUGGAAUUCCCAGUGUAGAGGUGAAAUUCGUAGAUAUUGGGAAGAACACCGGUGGCGAAGGCGGCUCUCUGGACCGAUACUGACGCUGAGGCGCGAAAGCGUGGGGAGCAAACAGGAUUAGAUACCCCCGUAGUCC
RNAcentral lists this ribosomal RNA (744 nucleotides) under uncultured bacterium. RNAcentral describes it as "bacterial SSU rRNA". It matches the Rfam family "Bacterial small subunit ribosomal RNA", at positions 8 to 796 of the family's 1533-position model. The record is from RNAcentral.